Molecule: ribosomal RNA, 407 nt
Filed under: uncultured bacterium
Lineage: Bacteria
Description: partial 16S ribosomal RNA
Rfam family: Bacterial small subunit ribosomal RNA
Source: RNAcentral
GACGAACGCUGGCGGCGUGCCUAAUACAUGCAAGUAGGACGCAGUUGCGAACGGGUGAGUAACGCGUAGGUAACUACCUAUUAGAGGGGGAUAACUAUUGGAAACGAUAGCUAAUACCGCAUACUAGUAGAUGGACCUGCUUUGUAUUAGCUAGUAGGUAGGGUAAUGGCCUCCCUAGGACACGGUACAUAGCCGACCUGCGAAGGUGAUAGACCAAAAUGGGACUGAGACAAGGCCCAGACUCCUACGGUGGGCAGCAGUAGGGAAUCUUCGGCAAUGGGGGGAACCCUGACCGAGCAACGCCGCGUGAGUGAAGAAGGUUUUCGGAUCGUAAAGCUCUGUUGUUAAGGAAGCGGUACGUAACCAGAAAGUGACGGCUAACUACGUGCCAGCAGCCGCGGUAAUAC